GACGAACGCUGGCGGCGUGCUUAACACAUGCAAGUCGAGCGGUAAGGCCCUUUCGGGGGUACACGAGCGGCGAACGGGUGAGUAACACGUGGGUGACCUGCCCUCAGCUCUGGGAUAAGCCUGGGAAACCGGGUCUAAUACCGGAUAUGACUCCAUGACGCAUGUUGUGGGGUGGAAAGCCUUGUGCGGCUGAGGAUGGGCCCGCGGCCUAUCAGCUUGUUGGUGGGGUGAUGGCCUACCAAGGCGACGACGGGUAGCCGGCCUGAGAGGGCGGACGGCCACACUGGGACUGAGACACGGCCCAGACUCCUACGGGAGGCAGCAGUGGGGAAUUUUCGCAAUGGGCGAAAGCCUGACGAAGCAACGCCGCGUGGAGGAUGAAGGCC
RNAcentral lists this ribosomal RNA (386 nucleotides) under uncultured bacterium. RNAcentral's name for it is "bacterial SSU rRNA". It matches the Rfam family "Bacterial small subunit ribosomal RNA", at positions 28 to 416 of the family's 1533-position model. The record is from RNAcentral.